CUGGUGGCUCAGUGGUUAAAGUGCUCAGCUGCCAACCGAAAGGUCGGCGGUUCAAACCCCCGCCAG
This 66-nucleotide transfer RNA is filed under the name Loxodonta africana (African savanna elephant). It matches the Rfam family "tRNA". Rfam says of the family: Transfer RNA (tRNA) molecules are approximately 80 nucleotides in length. Their secondary structure includes four short double-helical elements and three loops (D, anti-codon, and T loops). The record is from Rfam by way of RNAcentral. Lineage: Eukaryota; Metazoa; Chordata; Mammalia; Proboscidea; Elephantidae.